UUGGAGGGCAAGUCUGGUGCCCGCAGCCGCGGUAAUUCCAGCUCCAAUAGCGUAUAUUAAAGUUGUUGCAGUUAAAAAGCUCGUAGUUGAAUCUCGGGAUCAGAUUGUCGGUCGUGCCUCGGUACGCACUGGCAUUAUUGGUUCCUACCUUCUGAAGAACCGCGAUGUCAUUAAUUUGGUGUCGUGGGGAUCAGGACUGUUACUUUGAAAAAAUUAGAGUGUUUAAAGCAGGCUUACGCUUGAAUACAUUAGCAUGGAAUAAUGAAAUAGGACGUUUGAUUCUAUUUUGUUGGUUUCUAGGAUUGACGUAAUGAUUAAUAGGGAUAGUUGGGGGCAUUAGUAUUCAAUUGUCAGAGGUGAAAUUCUUGGAUUUAUUGAAGACUAACUACUGCGAAAGCAUUCGCCAAGGAUGUUUUCAUUAAUCAAGAACGAAAGUUAGGGGAUCGAAGACGAUCAGAUACCGUCGUAGUCUUAACCAUAAACUAUGCCGACUAGGGAUCGGAUGAUGUUAAUUUUUUAAUGGCUCAUUCGGCGCCUUACGGGAAACCAAAGUGUUUGGGUUC
This 563-nucleotide ribosomal RNA is filed under the name uncultured Glomeromycotina. RNAcentral's name for it is "SSU rRNA". It matches the Rfam family "Eukaryotic small subunit ribosomal RNA", at positions 548 to 1114 of the family's 1831-position model. Lineage: Eukaryota; Fungi; Glomeromycota. The record is from RNAcentral.